Molecule: ribosomal RNA, 465 nt
Filed under: Vreelandella stevensii
Lineage: Bacteria; Pseudomonadati; Pseudomonadota; Gammaproteobacteria; Oceanospirillales; Halomonadaceae
Description: partial 16S ribosomal RNA
Rfam family: Bacterial small subunit ribosomal RNA
Source: RNAcentral
CCUACGGGGGGCAGCAGUGGGGAAUAUUGGACAAUGGGGGCAACCCUGAUCCAGCCAUGCCGCGUGUGUGAAGAAGGCCCUCGGGUUGUAAAGCACUUUCAGUGAGGAAGAACGCCUGGUGGUUAAUACCCAUCAGGAAAGACAUCACUCACAGAAGAAACACCGGCUAACGCCGUGCCAGCAGCCGCGGUAAUACGGAGGGUGCGAGCGUUAAUCGGAAUUACUGGGCGUAAAGCGCGCGUAGGUGGCUUGAUAAGCCGGUUGUGAAAGCCCCGGGCUCAACCUGGGAACGGCAUCCGGAACUGUCAAGCUAGAGUGCAGGAGAGGAAGGUAGAAUUCCCGGUGUAGCGGUGAAAUGCGUAGAGAUCGGGAGGAAUACCAGUGGCGAAGGCGGCCUUCUGGACUGACACUGACACUGAGGUGCGAAAGCGUGGGUAGCAAACAGGAUUAGAUACCCCGGUAGUC